AUGCGAUAAGUAGUGUGAAUUGCAGAAUUCAGUGAAUCAUCGAAUCUUUGAACGCACAUUGCGCCCUUUGGCAUUCCGAAGGGCAUACCUGUUCGAGCGUCAUUACAACCGUCAAGCCUGGCUUGGUGUUGGGCGUCUUUGUCCCGCUGCAUUGCGUGGACUCGCCUCAAAUACAUCGGCGGCUGUAUGUGGGCCUGAUGCGUAGCAUACUUCGCAGAUCAGGCCUGCCUACAGGCAGCCGGAAUGCAGCUCUUUUCUGUUUGACCUCGGAUCAGGUAGGGAUACCCGCUGAACUUAA
This 298-nucleotide unclassified non-coding RNA is filed under the name uncultured Ascomycota. RNAcentral's name for it is "partial contains 5.8S ribosomal RNA, internal transcribed spacer 2, and large subunit ribosomal RNA". The stretch from base 1 to 102 matches the Rfam family "5.8S ribosomal RNA", at positions 53 to 154 of the family's 154-position model. The record is from RNAcentral. Lineage: Eukaryota; Fungi; Ascomycota.